UACGAAGGGGGCUAGCGUUGUUCGGAUUUACUGGGCGUAAAGCGCGCGUAGGCGGGCAUUUAAGUCAGGGGUGAAAUCCCAGGGCUCAACCCUGGAACGGCCUUUGAUACUGGAUGCCUGGAGAUCGGGAGAGGUUGGUGGAAUUCCGAGUGUAGAGGUGAAAUUCGUAGAUAUUCGGAAGAACACCAGUGGCGAAGGCGGCUCACUGGUCCGGUACUGACGCUGAGGUGCGAAAGCGUGGGGAGCAAACAGG
RNAcentral lists this ribosomal RNA (253 nucleotides) under uncultured bacterium. RNAcentral's name for it is "partial 16S ribosomal RNA". It matches the Rfam family "Bacterial small subunit ribosomal RNA", at positions 524 to 776 of the family's 1533-position model. The record is from RNAcentral.